RNAcentral lists this ribosomal RNA (497 nucleotides) under uncultured bacterium. RNAcentral's name for it is "partial 16S ribosomal RNA". It matches the Rfam family "Bacterial small subunit ribosomal RNA", at positions 28 to 507 of the family's 1533-position model. The record is from RNAcentral.
GAUGAACGCUGGCGGCGUGCCUAAUACAUGCAAGUCGAGCGAACGGACGAGAAGCUUGCUUCUCUGAUGUUAGCGGCGGACGGGUGAGUAACACGUGGAUAACCUACCUAUAAGACUGGGAUAACUUCGGGAAACCGUAGCUAAUACCGGAUAAUAUUUUGAACCGCAUGGUUCAAAAGUGAAAGACGGUCUCGCUGUCACUUAUAGAUGGAUCCGCGCUGCAUUAGCUAGUUGGUAAGGUAACGGCUUACCAAGGCAACGAUGCAUAGCCGACCUGAGAGGGUGAUCGGCCACACUGGAACUGAGACACGGUCCAGACUCCUACGGGAGGCAGCAGUAGGGACUCUUCCGCAAUGGGCGAAAGCCUGCCGGAGCAACGCCGCGUGAGUGAUGAAGGUCUUCGGAUCGUAAAACUCUGUUAUUAGGGAAGAACAUAUGUGUAAGUAACUGUGCACAUCUUGACGGUACCUAAUCAGAAAGCCACGGCUAACUCCGUG